AUCGGUCACAAAAUCGUCAAUUUUAUAAGUAACAACUUAUUUAACGUUCACAAAUUUUCAAAUUAAUUGAUCAAAGGAAAUUUCUUGAUCACAACUUUAUGAAUAGUGAGUCACAAUCACUUUUUUAGAUCACGAAUUAACUAAUAUUGGUCAUAAUUAAUCAAAUAAUUGAUCACAAACACUCAUCCCCUCCCACGCCACCCCACCCCACCUCACUACACUUUGCAAGACCACCACCACACACCACACAAUAGCAACGAGAAACCACCACCACUCACCAAAUUUUGGCACCAUCACUGCUGCUAGAUCAUGGCAUCACAAAACGUCUGACACCAGAUUGUGAGUGUCGUGCACAAUACAUGUUCCACCACCACAAAGUUGCUCAGCAACGAACCCAUUGUUGUUGUACGAGGCUUUCUGAGCUCGUCGCACAUAAUCAUCCAAAGCCUCAUCUUCUUCUUCGUCCACAGUAACAUCAGCUUUAUCGGUAGCAAUUCAAUUUUACAAUACUCAAAUCAAUGUAAUUCCAGAACAGUGAAAACACCUCCAACAAUAUCACAUACAUUGGCCAAGAAGUGAAAGUCGCCUUUAUUUGUGAAAACUGAAAAAGUCAUAAAAGAAGAUACGAAAUGAGGAAAUCUGGUCAACAUUCCACUCGUUGCCAUAAUCCCGAGAGACAAACACGGUCAAAUAAAAUGAUUGCACGAGUAGCUAACUUUUGCGGAAAAGAAAUUGCAGCUGUCUGAUAUAUGAGCAAUGGAGACAAAAACUUCAAUUUGAGAAGCAAAAGGCUCUGACCAUCCAUAAAGAUCUUUGAAUUUUCAGAGAAUCAAAAUCUGAAAGAGGAGAGGGAAUUUUCACGUCCAACAUUACGAACAUGAAUGAACUUUGAACUUGGAAGGUUCUUCCAUUAUCAGCAACCAUUAGAAAACCAAGAAUAAUUCCAGCCAAAUUCUGGAAAAGAAAAGCAGCAACAGGAAGCUUUGAUUUGCUCUGAUACCAUAUUAGAAUUUAUUGAAUGAAGUAAACUUGAAUUAAGCUCCAUAAAAGGAGAACAAAAGUGGAAUAGAAUUCCUUGAUACAAACACUCCAUUAAAGGAGGAAGAAACACUCCAUAAAAGGAGGAAAAAACCUCCAUGGAAGGAGGCGAAGAAACCUCCAUGAAAGGAGGGACUGGAGAAUGUUACAAUCUAAUGAUUUACAAUGUAUACCGAGUGCUGUAUUUAUAGAAAAAAGACUCACCAACUAACUAACUAAUCAACUAACUAAACCAACUACCAACUAAUUAACUAUAACAGUUGGAAGAAUCUAGACAGCUGUAUACAACUGGCUGAAUAUGUGUGGAAGAAGCUGGAAUAAAUCUGGAUCAUUGCGAAUAAAAUCUCUGGAAUCUAGUGUAGUUCUGAUGAUGGCUG
This 1415-nucleotide long non-coding RNA is filed under the name Olea europaea subsp. europaea. Lineage: Eukaryota; Viridiplantae; Streptophyta; Magnoliopsida; Lamiales; Oleaceae. The record is from RNAcentral.